CCUACGGGCGACAGCAGUGAGGAAUAUUGGUCAAUGGGCGCGAGCCUGAACCAGCCAAGUAGCGUGCAGGAUGACUGCUCUAUGGGUUGUAAACUUCUUUUAUAUGGGAAUAAAAUGUUCCACGUGUGGGAUUUUGUAUGUACCAUAUGAAUAAGGAUCGGCUAACUCCGUGCCAGCAGCCGCGGUAAUACGGAGGAUCCGAGCGUUAUCCGGAUUUAUUGGGUUUAAAGGGAGCGUAGGUGGAUUGUUAAGUCAGUUGUGAAAGUUUGCGGCUCAACCGUAAAAUUGCAGUUGAAACUGGCAGUCUUGAGUACAGUAGAGGUGGGCGGAAUUCGUGGUGUAGCGGUGAAAUGCUUAGAUAUCACGAAGAACACCGAUUGCGAAGGCAGCUCACUGGACUGCAACUGACACUGAGGCUCGAAAGUGUGGGUAUCAAACAGGAUUAGAUACCCGUGUAGUC
Molecule: ribosomal RNA, 460 nt
Filed under: uncultured bacterium
Lineage: Bacteria
Description: partial 16S ribosomal RNA
Rfam family: Bacterial small subunit ribosomal RNA
Source: RNAcentral